RNAcentral lists this ribosomal RNA (2896 nucleotides) under Clostridioides difficile. RNAcentral's name for it is "23S ribosomal RNA". It matches the Rfam family "Bacterial large subunit ribosomal RNA". The record is from RNAcentral. Lineage: Bacteria; Bacillati; Bacillota; Clostridia; Peptostreptococcales; Peptostreptococcaceae.
UCAAGUUAUUAAGGGUGCAGGGCGGAUGCCUUGGCACUAGGAGCCGAUGAAGGACGUGAUAAGCUGCGAUAAGCUUCGGGGAGUUGCACGUAAACUUUGAUCCGAAGAUUUCCGAAUGAGGAAACUCACUUAGAGUAAUGUCUAAGUAUCAUUAAGUGAAUACAUAGCUUAAUGAGGGGAACUCAGGGAACUGAAACAUCUAAGUACCUGAAGGAAGAGAAAGAAAUUCGAUUCCGUAAGUAGCGGCGAGCGAACGCGGAUUAGCCCAAACCAAUAAAGUUUUCUUUGUUGGGGUUGCGGACAUAUCAUAACGAAGAGGUAUCGUAAUUGAAGAGGUUUGGAAAGACCCACCACAGAAGGUAAUAGUCCUGUAUGUUAAACGAGAAGACUUUAGAUAUGAUCCAGAGUACCACGGGACACGUGAAACCCUGUGGGAAGCAGGAGGGACCACCCUCCAAGGCUAAAUACUACCUAGUGACCGAUAGCGUAUAGUACCGUGAGGGAAAGGUGAAAAGAACCCCGGGAGGGGAGUGAAAUAGAACCUGAAACCCUGCACUUACAAGCUGUGGAAGCACAUUUCUUGUGUGACCGCGUACUUUUUGUAGAACGGGCCAACGAGUUACGUUAAGUAGCAAGGUUAAGCACUUAAGGUGCGGAGCCGUAGCGAAAGCGAGUUUUAACUGAGCGUUCAGUUACUUGACGUAGACCCGAAACCGGGCGACCUACCCAUGAGCAGGAUGAAGCGAAAGUAAAAUUUCGUGGAGGUCCGAACCCACGAGCGUUGAAAAGCUCGGGGAUGACUUGUGGGUAGCGGUGAAAUUCCAAUCGAGCCCGGAGAUAGCUGGUUCUCCCCGAAAUAGCUUUAGGGCUAGCCUCAAGGUGAGAGAUACGGAGGUAGAGCACUGAAUGUCCUAGGGGGUAUUGCACCUACCGAAGACUAUCAAACUCCGAAUGCCGUCAUCUUAUACUUGGGAGUCAGACUGUGGGUGAUAAGAUUCAUAGUCGAAAGGGCAACAGCCCAGAUCGUCAGCUAAGGUCCCUAAAUGUAAGUUAAGUGGUAAAGGAUGUGGGAUUGCACAGACAACCAGGAUGUUGGCUUAGAAGCAGCCACUCAUUCAAAGAGUGCGUAAUAGCUCACUGGUCGAGUGAUCCUGCGCCGAAGAUUUCCGGGGCUAAAACUUACUACCGAAGCUACGGCAUCAGUAAUGAUGGGUAGGGGAGCUUCCCAUACGGGUUGAAGCAUGACCGUAAGGACAUGUGGACAGUAUGGGAGUGAGAAUGUUGGCAUGAGUAGCGAGAUGUGGGUGAGAAUCCCACAGGCCGUAAACCCAAGGUUUCCAGGGGAAGGUUCGUCCGCCCUGGGUUAGUCGGGACCUAAGCUGAGGCCGAAAGGCGUAGGUGAUGGACAACAGGUUGAUAUUCCUGUACUACCGAUAACCGUUUGAGAGAAGGGAUGACACAGUAGGAUAAGCUAAGCACACUGUUGGUUAUGUGUGCCCAAGCAUUGAGGCAGUCAAAGUAGGCAAAUCCGCUUUGAUAAUGCUGGGAUGUGAUGGGGAGCGAAAUUUAGUAGCGAAGUAGCUGAUUUCACACUGUCAAGAAAAGUCUCUAUCGAGGUUAAAGGUACCCGUACCGCAAACCGACACAGGUGGGUGAGGAGAGUAUCCUAAGGCCAGCGAGAGAACUGUUGUUAAGGAACUCGGCAAAAUGACCCCGUAACUUAGGGAUAAGGGGUGCCACCAUCAGGUGGCCGCAGAGAAUAGGCCCAAGCGACUGUUUACCAAAAACAUAGGUUUCUGCUAAGUCGCAAGACGAUGUAUAGGAGCUGACGCCUGCCCGGUGCUGGAAGGUUAAGGGGAUCUGUUAGAGCAAUCGAAGCAGUGAACUUAAGCCCCAGUAAACGGCGGCCGUAACUAUAACGGUCCUAAGGUAGCGAAAUUCCUUGUCGGGUAAGUUCCGACCCGCACGAAAGGCGUAACGAUUUGGGCACUGUCUCAACAACAGACUCGGUGAAAUUGUAAUUCCGGUGAAGAUGCCGGAUACCUGCGACAGGACGGAAAGACCCCAUGGAGCUUUACUGUAGCUUGACAUUGGGUCUUGGUACUACAUGUACAGGAUAGGUGGGAGGCUUUGAAACCAGGACGCCAGUUUUGGCGGAGCCAUCCUUGGGAUACCACCCUUGUAGUACUGGGACUCUAACCAUAGGCCAUGAAUCUGGUCUUGGGACACUGUCAGGUGGGCAGUUUGACUGGGGCGGUCGCCUCCCAAAAGGUAACGGAGGCGCUCAAAGGUUCUCUCAGUACGGUCGGAAAUCGUACGUAGAGUGUAAAGGCAAAAGAGAGCUUGAUUGCAAGACAUACAGGUCGAGCAAGGAUGAAAAUCGGACUUAGUGAUCCGGUGGUUCUGCGUGGAAGGGCCAUCGCUCAACGGAUAAAAGCUACCCUGGGGAUAACAGGCUUAUCUCCCCCAAGAGUCCACAUCGACGGGGAGGUUUGGCACCUCGAUGUCGGCUCAUCACAUCCUGGGGCUGUAGUAGGUCCCAAGGGUUGGGCUGUUCGCCCAUUAAAGUGGUACGCGAGCUGGGUUCAGAACGUCGUGAGACAGUUCGGUCCCUAUCCGUCGCAGGCGUAGGAAAUUUGAGAAGACCUGUCCUUAGUACGAGAGGACCGGGAUGGACGUACCUCUGGUGUACCAGUUGUCCUGCCAAGGGCAUGGCUGGGUAGCUAUGUACGGAAUGGAUAAGCGCUGAAAGCAUCUAAGCGCGAAGCCAACUUCAAGAUAAGAUUUCCCACCGCAAGGGUAAGACCCCAGAAAGACUAUCUGGUUGAUAGGUCGAAGGUGUAAGUGCAGCAAUGUAUUUAGCUUAUCGAUACUAAUAGGUCGAGGACUUGACCAA